RNAcentral lists this ribosomal RNA (411 nucleotides) under bacterium enrichment culture clone ALO1_GLFRUDD03HDROM. RNAcentral's name for it is "bacterial SSU rRNA". It matches the Rfam family "Bacterial small subunit ribosomal RNA", at positions 9 to 420 of the family's 1533-position model. The record is from RNAcentral.
GAGUUUGAUCAUGGCUCAGAUUGAACGCUGGCGGCAUGCCUUACACAUGCAAGUCGAACGGCAGCACGGGAGCUUGCUCCUGGGUGGCGAGUGGCGAACGGGUGAGUAAUGCAUCGGAACGUAUCCUGGAGUGGGGGAUAACGUAGCGAAAGUUACGCUAAUACCGCAUAUUCUGUGAGCAGGAAAGCGGGGGACCUUCGGGCCCCGCGCUCUUGGAGCGGCCGAUGUCGGAUUAGCUAGUUGGUGAGGUAAAGGCUCACCAAGGCGACGAUCCGUAGCAGGUCUGAGAGGAUGAUCUGCCACACUGGAACUGAGACACGGUCCAGACUCCUACGGGAGGCAGCAGUGGGAAUUUUGGACAAUGGGGGCAACCCUGAUCCAGCCAUGCCGCGUGAGUGAAGAAGGCCUCGG